RNAcentral lists this transfer RNA (76 nucleotides) under Solidesulfovibrio fructosivorans. It matches the Rfam family "tRNA". From Rfam's summary of the family: Transfer RNA (tRNA) molecules are approximately 80 nucleotides in length. RNAcentral also lists the same sequence under 20 other names. The record is from RNAcentral. Lineage: Bacteria; Pseudomonadati; Thermodesulfobacteriota; Desulfovibrionia; Desulfovibrionales; Desulfovibrionaceae.
UCCCCGGUAGCUCAAUUGGCAGAGCGGGUGGCUGUUAACCACUAGGUUGGCGGUUCGAGUCCGUCCCGGGGAGCCA